AUUGAACGCUGGCGGCAUGCCUUACACAUGCAAGUCGAACGGCAGCACGGGUGCUUGCACCUGGUGGCGAGUGGCGAACGGGUGAGUAAUACAUCGGAACAUGUCCUGUAGUGGGGGAUAGCCCGGCGAAAGCCGGAUUAAUACCGCAUACGAUCCACGGAUGAAAGCGGGGGGCCUUCGGGCCUCGCGCUAUAGGGUUGGCCGAUGGCUGAUUAGCUAGUUGGUGGGGUAAAGGCCUACCAAGGCGACGAUCAGUAGCUGGUCUGAGAGGACGACCAGCCACACUGGGACUGAGACACGGCCCAGACUCCUACGGGAGGCAGCAGUGGGGAAUUUUGGACAAUGGGCGAAAGCCUGAUCCAGCAAUGCCGCGUGUGUGAAGAAGGCCUUCGGGUUGUAAAGCACUUUUGUCCGGAAAGAAAUCCUUGACUCUAAUACAGUCGGGGGAUGACGGUACCGGAAGAAUAAGCACCGGCUAACUACGUG
Molecule: ribosomal RNA, 486 nt
Filed under: uncultured bacterium
Lineage: Bacteria
Description: partial 16S ribosomal RNA
Rfam family: Bacterial small subunit ribosomal RNA
Source: RNAcentral